UAUGAAGAACGUAGCGAAAUGCGAUACGUAAUGUGAAUUGCAGAAUUCAGUGAAUCAUCGAGUCUUUGAACGCACAUUGCGCCCCCUGGUAUUCCGGGGGGCAUGCCUGUCCGAGUGUCAUUGCUGCCCUCAAGCCCGGCUUGUGUGUUGGGUCUCGUCCCCCUUCCCGGGGGGACGGGCCCGAAAGGCAGCGGCGGCACCGCGUCCGGUCCUCGAGCGUAUGGGGCUUUGUCACCCGCUCUGUAGGCCCGGCCGGCGCUUGCCGAUCAACCAAAACUUUUUUCCAGGUUGACCUCGGAUCAGGUAGGGAUACCCGCUGAACUUAAGCAUAUCAAUAAGCGGAGGA
Molecule: unclassified non-coding RNA, 346 nt
Filed under: soil metagenome
Description: partial contains 5.8S ribosomal RNA, internal transcribed spacer 2, and large subunit ribosomal RNA
Rfam family: 5.8S ribosomal RNA (bases 2-120)
Source: RNAcentral